AAAAAGACAAACCCUCAUUUCCAUGUCCAAUGUUUGACCGUCCGUCUUAUUUAAAAAAAUUAUAAAAUAAAUUAAAAAGAUAAGUCACGCAUAAAGUAUUAAUCAUGUUUUAUCAUCUAACAACAAUGAAAAUACUAAUUAUAAAAAAAUUUCAUAUAAGACAGACAGUUAAACAUUGGACACGAAAACCCAGGGUUUGUCUUUUU
RNAcentral lists this microRNA precursor (206 nucleotides) under Oryza glumipatula. Its description in RNAcentral is "MIR812 microRNA precursor family". It matches the Rfam family "MIR812 microRNA precursor family". The record is from Rfam by way of RNAcentral. Lineage: Eukaryota; Viridiplantae; Streptophyta; Magnoliopsida; Poales; Poaceae.